AGAUGAGCCUAAGUCGGAUUAGCUAGUUGGUGGGGUAAAGGCCUACCAAGGCGACGAUCUGUAGCGGGUCUGAGAGGAUGAUCCGCCACACUGGGACUGAGACACGGCCCAGACUCCUACGGGAGGCAGCAGUGGGGAAUAUUGGACAAUGGGGGGAACCCUGAUCCAGCCAUGCCGCGUGUGUGAAGAAGGCCUUAUGGUUGUAAAGCACUUUAAGCGAGGAGGAGGCUACUCUAGUUAAUACCUAGGGAUAGUGGACGUUACUCGCAGAAUAAGCACCGGCUAACUCUGUGCCAGCAGCCGCGGUAAUACAGAGGGUGCGAGCGUUAAUCGGAUUUACUGGGCGUAAAGCGUGCGUAGGCGGCUUAUUAAGUCGGAUGUGAAAUCCCCGAGCUUAACUUGGGAAUUGCAUUCGAUACUGGUGAGCUAGAGUAUGGGAGAGGAUGGUAGAAUUCCAGGUGUAGCGGUGAAAUGCGUAGAGAUCUGGAGGAAUACCGAUGGCGAAGGCAGCCAUCUGGCCUAAUACUGACGCUGAGGUACGAAAGCAUGGGGAGCAAACAGGAUUAGAUACCCUGGUAGUCCAUGCCGUAAACGAUGUCUACUAGCCGUUGGGGCCUUUGAGGCUUUAGUGGCGCAGCUAACGCGAUAAGUAGACCGCCUGGGGAGUACGGUCGCAAGACUAAAACUCAAAUGAAUUGACGGGGGCCCGCACAAGCGGUGGAGCAUGUGGUUUAAUUCGAUGCAACGCGAAGAACCUUACCUGGCCUUGACAUACUAGAAACUUUCCAGAGAUGGAUUGGUGCCU
This 805-nucleotide ribosomal RNA is filed under the name Acinetobacter baumannii. RNAcentral's name for it is "bacterial SSU rRNA". It matches the Rfam family "Bacterial small subunit ribosomal RNA", at positions 223 to 1019 of the family's 1533-position model. Lineage: Bacteria; Pseudomonadati; Pseudomonadota; Gammaproteobacteria; Moraxellales; Moraxellaceae. The record is from RNAcentral.